CCCCACUCGCCGCGGUUAUUCUUUGCCAGUCCGGCAGUCCCCAAGCUCCCCCACGCGCUCCUCUCCUCCAGCUCCUCAGAUCCGGCGACCUCCGGCUCCUCGCCGCCGCCACGGAAAUUCGGCGCCUCCGCGCCCUUUAUCGACCCAUGGAGACCGGGUUCAUUUCCUUCCUGCCCCUCCUUCGACGGCUGUCCCGAAUUUCAGGCGUCGCGCGUGGCCGGAGCUGAGGACGCGUUCCUCUCCGUCUCCCAUGUCCCGCUCGCGCGCGCGGCAUGCCUUUGUAAAGCCCGUCGUCGCCGUGUCCCUGGCAAGCCCGUUGUCCCCGUGCCCGCUCUUCACCAUCCUCGGCGCCAUAUCCGCAAAAGGUUAGUAUUCCUCACCUCUGGGAAAAAUACGCGGGUGGCGUACCAGGCCACGAGAUCCAGCUUGCUGUAUCCUCUCAUCAGCAGGAUGUGAGUUUCGGGUAGCUAGCACUACGUUUCCUUAGCUUGAACAACCUGCAAAACAAUCAUGCUCUGACUACUAUAUUUAUUUAGAAUAUUGCAAUAUCAUCAAUCGAUCCAUUGGACAGCAGUUUAGAUAAUUAGUAGUAACUUGUCUGUUUUUUCAGCGAGACCUGAAUGCUAUGGGAAUAUCAUCAGUUCUGUAAUUGCCCUGCAGGAUCAGCGGUUCUUUAAUUUAGACACCACAAUAUAAUCGAUUAUGUAGGAUUGUUUCAAGAUUGAUCUUUAGGUACAGAUAAUGUAAUUGCAGUUGCCUAUAUACAGUUUCUAGAGCCUUUGUUGUCCUUUUUGUUGGAUACUAGCAAUAAUUAAUUAUUAGCCGUGAAUUGUUCUUCCAGUGAAAAUAGAGUGAUAAUUUGCAAGUGGCAUGAUUAGGAGUAGAUUAUUUGUAUACAUACAUGCAUGCAUGGUCUCCACACCUUGAAACCAAUUUUAUUUUCCAAACAUGAAAGCCAGUCUGCCUUCAUGUCACCCGUUUUCCCCUCUAGGUUUCUAGUCGAGGGCGUCCUGCAGCGAGCAGUGCAGGAAAUUGACAUAUGGCGGCGAGCGGAUGCAUGUCCGUAAGCGAGUGGGUGAGCGGCGAGCGGGUGCAUGUCCGGCAACGAGCGGGCGAGCGGCGGUCGGAAUCGGAGGUCAGGCGUGUGGCGGGAGGGCUCUGCACCAACCGUGUCCUCGUCAACGUCGUGAUUGGCCGGCCGACGGUGCUUCCGGUGGUAUCGGCUUCCUUGUCGGGCAGCACACCAGGUGGUGACUGCAGGCGGCGCAGCGUCGUGGUCGGGCAGCGCAACAGAUUAUUUUUGCCGGCGGCGCUGCGGGUGGGCCAGCGACCUCAGCUCUUCUGUGGUUAGUUUCACGCCAGGGAGUGGUAAUCUCUGUUUCGCUGGAUAUCAGGAACAAAUAGAAAAGAUCUCUCUCCAGUUCAGACCUACAGCUGCACUGAGUCCUGCUAUCGAUCUUGUUUGGUCUUCCCCUACAGAUGUUCCUAUACUCCUCAGGUUUGGCACUUUAUUUUGGUCUAAAUGUUCAUUGUUAAGAAAAAUAGGAGAUUGCAUCAUUACCUUCUGCCUUUUUGGGGUUCAGGAAUACGCGCAUUGUUCAAGACAACUUGUAAGCAUUUGUAUAAUUUAUUGUUGAAGACAUAAUGCUCUUACUGCAACCAAACGCUGGCUCGUAGUGUGCCUUGGAUUUAUUCUUUUGUUGAUACCAAAUAACUUAUGACAAGCUAUGCAGUCUUUCGUGUAAAAGUUAAAGAACUGGUUGGCUCACUUUGUUUGCAUGUCACCAGUGUGUAAUUUCUGAUCCAUCAUGAAAUAGAUUGUUAUUUUCCUCUUAUUGUAGCGUGGACCUUAGCAUAUUCACUUGUUUGUUUAUCCAAAUCCAAGCUCUGUAAUCAUAUUUCAGCCGCCAAGCCAAGGAACAAUGUGUUUGGGAGAUACAAAUUUGUCAUGUCCACUCCAUUUAUAAGCAUUUGGCUAAUUUGUUGCAGGUUGAUAUUAUAACGAUAUCUUUGAUAGCAAUACUGUCGCGUAAUAAGCGUUGGCUUUGUCUCUUCAUACAUGCCAAAUAAGUAAUGACUAGCUAUUUGGCUUCACAUGGAAGUUUUAAAAUGUUAUGAAAAAGUUACUCACAUACAGCAAAAGAAAAUGAUAUGCUUACAAAGCACAUCAAUGCCCCUAAUGUUAUUUCAGCUGUAUCUGGUCUUUGGAAAUGGGUAUAUGUACAAAUAAGAAGUAUGCGUUUGGGUAAAUCCUUCUGUUAGUAAAUCUUUUACCUCUUUCUGUUUGGCAUGCAUCUCAGUUUUUAUGAUUUUCCUGUCAUUAUACAUGACUUUUGUUAUGCAUAAAUACCUCUCAACUUUUCAGAUGCCUAGUUAUGGUAUUGUCAUUUGCAUGAAAAUUGAUGAUAGUGUGAAUGGAAAAUUCAUGGAAGUUUGUGUGAUAUGUUAGUUGCUUGCUUCGAGCUUUGACCAUGUUCCUAGCCUAGUAGAUUUUGCCUUGUAGACAUAUAUAGACCAAGUAUGCCAAAUGUAUUUUAAAUAUGGCAAAAUCGUGUGGAGCUUAUUUCAGUUUCCUGGCCUAGAAUAGGUGACAUUCUAGGAUUUUUAAGGGGUAAUUUCUUUGACUCCAAUCUGAAACAUGACAGAACCCUAAAUGGCCGCAUAAUACAUUCUUCUUGCACCUGAUGCUACAUGGGUCAUAUAUUUCUUCUAUGUUAGCCCCUAGUCAAUUUCUAGUCCAAUUCAUGAGUGCCAGCUUGGUGAUGAUACCUUUUGUUAUUCAGAAAUAUACGUUUAUCAGUUGCUUCUCGUGUGACAUAACUUUGUUAUUUGGAAGUGAUUAUCACCUUUUCAGCUUUAGUUGUAAUAUUUUCGUAUGCUUGAAAAUAGAUUAGUGUGAUCUGUUAGUUUCUUUUGCGUCCACCUUUGAUCGUAUUAUUACUUAUUAGUCUAUCAGAUUUUGCAUUUACGGACCGGGACAGCUUCAGUAUCACAAAUGUAUUUUUGAUCUGGCAAAAUUACCGUGAGGAUAUUCCAGUAGCUGGCCUUUGAACAUAGAUGACAUUGUUGAUUUAUUAAUCUAUUAUUUUCCAUCCUCCAUUCUCAAAUAUGACAGAAUUCUAAAUGGUUGCAGGAUAUUGGCACAGCUUAUUCUUUUGCUCAUUUUUGUUCGUGUAGAGAUCCAGGAGAGACGGCAAUGUUCAAAAAAUUAAGUUGAACUGGGGAUGUGUCUUACUCCUAGGUACACAAUGAAAUGUAGAGCUACACCGCAUGUUGUGGUCUUCAGGGUCGGGCUGACUAGUACGAUGACAUCAACCAGUGGCGGAGCCAGGAUUCAAA
This is a non-coding RNA of Lolium perenne, 3339 nucleotides long. The record is from RefSeq and is a predicted model, not a curated record. NCBI's taxonomy places the organism in Eukaryota, Viridiplantae, Streptophyta, Magnoliopsida, Poales, Poaceae.